AAUUCUCAACUUCAUCAGUUUUAUUAUGAAAUUGUGUGAAGCUUGGAUAUGGGGGUUUGCAGAAUGCAAUACAUUGUUCUGCUCCUCUUAAAUAAAUUAGCAAGUUUAAACUAGGCUUCAUCUAUUGGUGUGAUAAUUAUCUACGCCGUGGAUUGGGCUUAGACUUGCUUCUAACAGUCUGAAAAGACAACAUUUUUGACA
RNAcentral lists this unclassified non-coding RNA (201 nucleotides) under uncultured fungus. RNAcentral describes it as "partial internal transcribed spacer 2". The record is from RNAcentral. Lineage: Eukaryota; Fungi.